AGACUUAUUGAUACACAUGUGUGAAUGGUUUAAAAGCUAAAACGUUUUCCCAUCUUAUUUUAUUAUUUCCUGACUCAGCUUACUAGCAAACCUGUCGUCAUCAUUGUUUGGUUAUUGUCAACGAUGCUAAUGCUAACGCUAAUGCUAACGCUGAUGCUAACGCUAGCUAACUUAACGUUACAGUAUGUAAAUCUGUCUUGUAUCUCUUCUAACUUUGUAACAUUAGACCUGAGUAAGUUUUGCAUGUCACAUUCAUUCAUGCAUUCAUAAUUAGGCUAAAUGUAUUGUGCAAGAUAUAGUGACAUGCAUCAUGACAUGCGACUAUUACAGUAUGAAAAGAAAUCAGAACAUUCAGGGAUUCUUCAAAAGAAAGAAAUCCAAAACAACAGAGCAGGACAGAGCAGCAGAAGCCAGCAGUGCUAGUCAGUCUGAGGAUGAGAGCCAGCUUGACUCUGCUAGGGAUGUACAGCAGGAGCCUCCAGCUUCAGCUGUACACAUGGACUCAGACAAGGAUACUGGUGAUGAAGGCCCUUCAUCUUCACUUGCACAUCAGGGUGUGUCAAGUCAGCCACUCUCUGACAAUGACACUGACACUGAGAACCAUCCAGCAGUACCUGCAGGCCAUGCAGUGACACGUGGGGAUGGUGAUGCAGCAGCCCUUGUGGCCCCACCUGGACCUCAUGAUAUUUCACAGUCAAGAGCAGCAGGUCCCUCUCAGCCUCGUUUAAAGGUUUUUCCAAGAACCCUCCAAGGUGAGAAGAGG
Long non-coding RNA from Pseudoliparis swirei, 763 nucleotides. RefSeq lists it as uncharacterized. The transcript has 4 exons. NCBI's taxonomy places the organism in Eukaryota, Metazoa, Chordata, Actinopteri, Perciformes, Liparidae. The record is from RefSeq and is a predicted model, not a curated record.